Molecule: transfer RNA, 84 nt
Filed under: Actinomadura livida
Lineage: Bacteria; Bacillati; Actinomycetota; Actinomycetes; Streptosporangiales; Thermomonosporaceae
Description: tRNA-Pro
Source: RNAcentral
UACCUGGGUGGACGCCCGGGGCGGCCCCCCGGUUCGGGGCCGGGCCGGUACGCCGGUGCUCAGUUCGGGUUCUGGGUCGGGCGC